UGUGAAGUUUGUCGCGGGGAGUCCGCUGCAUCAGACCCACCACACCGGUGAUAUCUGACAUCCAUACUCCAUCACAUCAUGCCGUUCUCUUCGGGGUAUUCCAGAAAGCUCCUCUGGAACAUACCCAUUUCUUUCCCUCUGGGCGAAGCAGGAACUUUCUCUGCUUUUUCCCUCCAUGAAAACACAUGGCAAGUGAAUGGCCGUAAUGAUGCAACUUGACUGUGAAUGUCAGGAGCUAUAAGAUGCCCUCUUUUGGCUCGCCGUAGUCCUUUUCCUUUUUUCUUCAUCCUCUCAUUACUCCAUUUCAUAUAUCUGUAUGACUGUUGAGUUUGGGAUAAUACAAGUUUUGAGAUCGCGCCCAAUAUUGACCAAAGGAUCAAAGCCACCCUGACCUCGACAUUACACAUCCACUAAACAGCCCUUGCACC
RNAcentral lists this small RNA (428 nucleotides) under Histoplasma capsulatum var. duboisii H88. Its description in RNAcentral is "Histoplasma capsulatum H88 hypothetical RNA". Lineage: Eukaryota; Fungi; Ascomycota; Eurotiomycetes; Onygenales; Ajellomycetaceae. The record is from RNAcentral.